AUACGUAGGGUGCGAGCGUUGUCCGGAAUUACUGGGCGUAAAGAGCUCGUAGGUGGUUUGUCGCGUCGUCUGUGAAAUUCCGGGGCUUAACUCCGGGCGUGCAGGCGAUACGGGCAUAACUUGAGUACUGUAGGGGAGACUGGAAUUCCUGGUGUAGCGGUGAAAUGCGCAGAUAUCAGGAGGAACACCGGUGGCGAAGGCGGGUCUCUGGGCAGUAACUGACGCUGAGGAGCGAAAGCAUGGGUAGCGAACAGGAUUAGAUACCCUGGUAGUCCAUGCUGUAAAUGGUGGGCGCUAGGUGUAGGGGUCUUCCACGACUUCUGUGCCGUAGCUAACGCAUUAAGCGCCCCGCCUGGGGAGUACGGCCGCAAGGCUAAAACUCAAAUGAAUUGACGGGG
This 398-nucleotide ribosomal RNA is filed under the name uncultured bacterium. RNAcentral describes it as "partial 16S ribosomal RNA". It matches the Rfam family "Bacterial small subunit ribosomal RNA", at positions 523 to 918 of the family's 1533-position model. The record is from RNAcentral.